GACGAACGCUGGCGGCGUGCCUAAUACAUGCAAGUAGAACGCACAGUUUAUACCGUAGCUUGCUACACCAUAGACUGUGAGUUGCGAACGGGUGAGUAACGCGUAGGUAACCUGCCUGGUAGCGGGGGAUAACUAUUGGAAACGAUAGCUAAUACCGCAUAAUAUUAAUUAUUGCAUGAUAAUUAAUUGAAAGGUGCAAUUGCACCACUACCAGAUGGACCUGCGUUGUAUUAGCUAGUAGGUGAGGUAACGGCUCACCUAGGCGACGAUACAUAGCCGACCUGAGAGGGUGAUCGGCCACACUGGGACUUGGACACGGCCCAGACUCCUACGGGAGGCAGCAGUAGGGAAUCUUCGGCAAUGGACGAAAGUCUGACCGAGCAACGCCGCGGGAGUGAAGAAGGGUUUCGGAUCGUAAAGCUCUGUUGUAAGAGAAGAACGGGUGUGAGAGUGGAAAGUUCACACUGUGACGGUAUCUUACCAGAAAGGGACGGCUAACUACGUG
RNAcentral lists this ribosomal RNA (505 nucleotides) under uncultured bacterium. RNAcentral describes it as "partial 16S ribosomal RNA". It matches the Rfam family "Bacterial small subunit ribosomal RNA", at positions 28 to 507 of the family's 1533-position model. The record is from RNAcentral.